Molecule: ribosomal RNA, 577 nt
Filed under: uncultured bacterium
Lineage: Bacteria
Description: partial 16S ribosomal RNA
Rfam family: Bacterial small subunit ribosomal RNA
Source: RNAcentral
UGGGGAAUUUUGGACAAUGGGGGAAACCCUGAUCCAGCCAUCCCGCGUGUGCGAUGAAGGCCUUCGGGUUGUAAAGCACUUUUGGCAGGAAAGAAACGUCGCGGGUUAAUACCCCGCGGAACUGACGGUACCUGCAGAAUAAGCACCGGCUAACUACGUGCCAGCAGCCGCGGUAAUACGUAGGGUGCAAGCGUUAAUCGGAAUUACUGGGCGUAAAGCGUGCGCAGGCGGUUCGGAAAGAAAGAUGUGAAAUCCCAGAGCUUAACUUUGGAACUGCAUUUUUAACUACCGGGCUAGAGUGUGUCAGAGGGAGGUGGAAUUCCGCGUGUAGCAGUGAAAUGCGUAGAUAUGCGGAGGAACACCGAUGGCGAAGGCAGCCUCCUGGGAUAACACUGACGCUCAUGCACGAAAGCGUGGGGAGCAAACAGGAUUAGAUACCCUGGUAGUCCACGCCCUAAACGAUGUCAACUAGCUGUUGGGGUCUUCGGACCUUGGUAGCGCAGCUAACGCGUGAAGUUGACCGCCUGGGGAGUACGGUCGCAAGAUUAAAACUCAAAUGAAUUGACGGGGUCGAUAC